Molecule: ribosomal RNA, 602 nt
Filed under: uncultured bacterium
Lineage: Bacteria
Description: bacterial SSU rRNA
Rfam family: Bacterial small subunit ribosomal RNA
Source: RNAcentral
GCAGUCGAGCGGUAGAGAGGUGCUUGCACCUCUUGAGAGCGGCGGACGGGUGAGUAAAGCCUAGGAAUCUGCCUGGUAGUGGGGGAUAACGCUCGGAAACGGACGCUAAUACCGCAUACGUCCUACGGGAGAAAGCAGGGGACCUUCGGGCCUUGCGCUAUCAGAUGAGCCUAGGUCGGAUUAGCUAGUUGGUGAGGUAAUGGCUCACCAAGGCGACGAUCCGUAACUGGUCUGAGAGGAUGAUCAGUCACACUGGAACUGAGACACGGUCCAGACUCCUACGGGAGGCAGCAGUGGGGAAUAUUGGACAAUGGGCGAAAGCCUGAUCCAGCCAUGCCGCGUGUGUGAAGAAGGUCUUCGGAUUGUAAAGCACUUUAAGUUGGGAGGAAGGGCAUUAACCUAAUACGUUAGUGUUUUGACGUUACCGACAGAAUAAGCACCGGCUAACUCUGUGCCAGCAGCCGCGGUAAUACAGAGGGUGCAAGCGUUAAUCGGAAUUACUGGGCGUAAAGCGCGCGUAGGUGGUUCGUUAAGUUGGAUGUGAAAUCCCCGGGCUCAACCUGGGAACUGCAUUCAAAACUGUCGAGCUAGAGUAUGGUAGA